CUUUAUUGGAGAGUUUGAUCCUGGCUCAGGACGAACGCUGGCGGCGUGCCUAAUACAUGCAAGUCGAGCGGACUUGAUGGAGUGCUUGCACUCCUGAUGGUUAGCGGCGGACGGGUGAGUAACACGUAGGCAACCUGCCCUCAAGACUGGGAUAACUACCGGAAACGGUAGCUAA
This 175-nucleotide ribosomal RNA is filed under the name Paenibacillus lautus. RNAcentral describes it as "partial 16S ribosomal RNA". It matches the Rfam family "Bacterial small subunit ribosomal RNA", at positions 1 to 166 of the family's 1533-position model. Lineage: Bacteria; Bacillati; Bacillota; Bacilli; Caryophanales; Paenibacillaceae. The record is from RNAcentral.